Molecule: small nuclear RNA, 108 nt
Organism: Pygocentrus nattereri (red-bellied piranha)
Lineage: Eukaryota; Metazoa; Chordata; Actinopteri; Characiformes; Serrasalmidae
Source: RefSeq, a predicted model, not a curated record
ACUGCCUGCUACGGCAGCGCAUACUAAAAUUGGAUUGAUACAGAGAAGAUUAGCAUGGCCCCUCUUACCACAAUGCUCGAUCCUAAUGGAUAGAAGCAUCCUCUUAUC